Molecule: ribosomal RNA, 269 nt
Filed under: uncultured bacterium
Lineage: Bacteria
Description: partial 16S ribosomal RNA
Rfam family: Bacterial small subunit ribosomal RNA
Source: RNAcentral
CGUCCGGCGACCGGCGCACGGGUGAGUAACACGUAUGCAACCUGCCCUCUUCAGGGGGACGAACCUUCCGAAAGGGAGGCUAAUCCCGCGUAUAUCGGUUUCGGGCAUCCGAGAUCGAGGAAAGAUUCAUCGGAAGAGGAUGGGCAUGCGGCGCAUUGGGCAGUAGGCGGGGUAACGGCCCACCUAACCGACGAUGCGUAGGGGUUCUGAGAGGAAGGUCCCCCANACUGGUACUGAGACACGGACCAGACUCCUACGGAAGGCAGCAG